This 232-nucleotide long non-coding RNA is filed under the name Elaeis guineensis (African oil palm). Its description in RNAcentral is "long non-coding RNA (EGUI_LNC052730)". Lineage: Eukaryota; Viridiplantae; Streptophyta; Magnoliopsida; Arecales; Arecaceae. The record is from RNAcentral.
AUGUGAUGGAUUUGAAAGAUUGAAAUAUAAUGUGGUCGACUUAAUUAAGGUUGAAAGUUAAACCUUAGGUCACCUUGAGCAUUUGGAUCAAAGGGAUGAAUUAUACGGUAACCAUAUGCCAAUAGGUUCUAGAAGGUUGCUUUGCAAUACUUUGACCUAUCCGGUCAUCGAGUCAUCAUUACUAGAUGGUUACAUCGAUUAGUAUAGAAAGUUAUUCCUAUGCUACCAGCUU